Molecule: long non-coding RNA, 903 nt
Organism: Danaus plexippus (monarch butterfly)
Lineage: Eukaryota; Metazoa; Arthropoda; Insecta; Lepidoptera; Nymphalidae
Exons: 2
Source: RefSeq, a predicted model, not a curated record
AGGCACUACUGAAUAAAACUAAUGCUUCAUUACAGUUUAGAAAUGCAGAAAGAUUAUGAUACCAAAUAUUCUAAACGUUCUAAAGUGCCACUCUUAACGAUAAUAGCGUCAAUUUUGUGUUAAGGCUCUUUAAUGCACCGGGACUUGAAAAAUACGUAUGACUGGGCAUUUACUGUACGAACGAGUUUUUGGGGAAAAGCUAGUUAUUAAAAUUUAACUGUAAUUCAAAUGUCAUAAGUUUCGUUUUUCAAUUUUACUCCUCAAAUACUUUGUAAAGAACAUUGUGAAUGACAACCAAAAAUUUCUAGUAAAAUUUCAAUAACAAAAAAACUGCUUCCUUUAUUUUGAAUAAUAUACUUCGAAGUCAUCUUUGUCAUUAUUGUACCCGCAGUAUCAAAGUGUGUUAACCACAAAUAAACGACUUUAUAUGCGUGUGUAUGUGUUUGCUUGUAUGCGAUAUAUAUAUACGAUGAUAGAGUUGAAAAUAGAUAUUUAUUGCAGUGCUUAGGUAAUUAAUGCACAUAUGCAUAGGAAAAACUGUCAUUAUUGCAAUGUAUUCCUGCACGUUAGUUAUGAUUACCGCAUCUCUAUUUAUUUUAUGUCAUAUACAUUAUAUUGAAGCGAAUGAUUACGUUGGAAGGAUCAUUUUCCCCGAUGAAUUUUUGGCGUUUGAGAAAGCUGACUCAAAUCUCACGUCGAGAUUUGGCAUAAGAGUUGGGAGAUGUCCAUCAGGACAAGUGUGGCGAGGUUUCGUAUGCGUUUGAAGGGAAAUAUUUUUAUGUAAUGGUACCUAAUUAGAGACACCAGUCGAAGUGAUGUUUUGUUUUAGGUACGCCGAUUCACAACUCGGGCAAUCGUUUGAUUAAUGUGUUCAUAAUUUAAAAUAAAAAUAUAAUAUUUUGU